AGAAAGGGUGGACUCAGAGUGGGGCCUCCCUGAGCUCAUAUAAGGGCUGAGCACUGAAGGGAGAGCAACUCUUGGACCUAGGCUGCUUCUUGCUGUGCAGUCAGAGAGCCUUUCCAUCAGCGGGAAUGGAUUCUCUGCAGCCUCCAUUAUAUGAACCCAGAUCUGUGACGUUCACCAUAAUGCUGGGCCCAUGCAGUGCUCAGAGGAGAUGAGUUUUCUGGCUGAGAGGGCUCUAAAACAGUGGGAUUGCGCUCUGGAAGCUCCUCGUGCAUUGUUGCUGCUCGAAAGUGGCUUGAUUCAGAGGCUUGAAGAGACUCAUCUGUACACAAGUGCUCUGGCCUGAUAAUUUUGGUACAGUGUUCUUGGGGAAAAAAAAACAAACAGUAGAAGGUUGAUUUUUAGGUUGUCUGAGUCGUGAUCUCUGGGUCAGAUUACCUGUUACUUGGAAGGAGUGCAGCAGUAUAAAAGGCAAAGGAAGAAACAGUUCUGCAUAGAAGCUGGGCACCGUAUUUUUGUUUUGGCAUUGAAUUUUAUGGCUUUGGCAAUAAAGUAGCAUUUCAUUAUCACUUGCCAUAUCGCAGACCCUGAGGGUCUGUUCUUAGUUCUGAUGCACUGUGUGUUUCUGUCACAGUAAGAGCUGUCCUUUGUAUAUUACACAAUAAAUAAUAUUCCUAGAAACCGCAUUUCAAAAAAUAAAGAAC
Molecule: long non-coding RNA, 701 nt
Organism: Numida meleagris (helmeted guineafowl)
Lineage: Eukaryota; Metazoa; Chordata; Aves; Galliformes; Numididae
Exons: 3
Source: RefSeq, a predicted model, not a curated record